This 205-nucleotide ribosomal RNA is filed under the name uncultured Sphingobacteriales bacterium. RNAcentral's name for it is "partial 16S ribosomal RNA". It matches the Rfam family "Bacterial small subunit ribosomal RNA", at positions 1180 to 1382 of the family's 1533-position model. Lineage: Bacteria; Pseudomonadati; Bacteroidota; Sphingobacteriia; Sphingobacteriales. The record is from RNAcentral.
UGACGUCAAAUCAGCACGGCCCUUAUGUCCAGGGCUACACACGUGUUACAAUGGCCAGUACAAAGGGCAGGCUACCGGGUGACCGGAUGCUAAUCUCUAAAGCCUGGUCUCAGUUCGGAUCGAAGUCUGCAACCCGACUUCGUGAAGCUGGAUUCGCUAGUAAUCGCGCAUCAGCCAUGGCGCGGUGAAUACGUUCCCGGGCCUU